Molecule: long non-coding RNA, 363 nt
Filed under: Homo sapiens (human)
Lineage: Eukaryota; Metazoa; Chordata; Mammalia; Primates; Hominidae
Description: HSALNT0176431
Source: RNAcentral
CAAAGAUCACUAUACUAAGAAAAGAAAAAGCACUUUGCCUUUGAGUCCCACAGAUUACACGUUCUGGAAAGACUGCAUACCAAGUAGCAGAUUUAUUUUAGUUUGUUUACAAAAAAAUGUGCAGACCAAAGUUCAAUGCUGCUAUUGGGGAGCUACUAAAGACAUCAAUAAGUAGAUGUCUAAUGUUUAAACACAUUUCAUUGAAAAUGGUUGGAAGUAUCUGAGCCAAUUAUUUCUUAUGUGACCCUAAAGAAAACAGAUACCUACCUGACCCCAAAACUACUUGAGGAAAUUGCUUCCGUGACCCUGCUGCAGAUGGGAGAGAGGGCCCAUUAAGAAGAGAGUGGGGUCAGGAUCAACACA